RNAcentral lists this ribosomal RNA (65 nucleotides) under Escherichia coli. Lineage: Bacteria; Pseudomonadati; Pseudomonadota; Gammaproteobacteria; Enterobacterales; Enterobacteriaceae. The record is from RNAcentral. RNAcentral also lists the same sequence under 28 other names.
CCUGGCGGCCGUAGCGCGGUGGUCCCACCUGACCCCAUGCCGAACUCAGAAGUGAAACGCCGUAG